This 205-nucleotide long non-coding RNA is filed under the name Lathyrus oleraceus (garden pea). Its description in RNAcentral is "Pisum sativum (pea) long non-coding RNA (PSAT_LNC004906)". Lineage: Eukaryota; Viridiplantae; Streptophyta; Magnoliopsida; Fabales; Fabaceae. The record is from RNAcentral.
AAGAAGAGGGAGAUGAACUUGAAGAAAUUGUGUUUUUAAAUUUAAUUUCUUGUAGUCAAACAUGUUUUUUUCACUAUGCACACAAUUAAAUUUCUUGUAGUCAAACAUGUUCUUUUUUCACAAUGCACACAACAUGUUGACUUUGAGAUACAAAAUACUCUGUCCAUUUCAAAAUAGAUGUUUUUUUUUCUAUUUUUAUUUAUUU